GGUGGUGCAUGGUUGUCGUCAGCUCGUGUCGUGAGAUGUUGGGUUAAGUCCCGCAACGAGCGCAACCCUUAUUCUUAGUUACCAUCAUUUAGUUGGGCACUCUAAGGAGACUGCCGGUGACAAACCGGAGGAAGGUGGGGAUGACGUCAAAUCAUCAUGCCCCUUAUGACCUGGGCUACACACGUGCUACAAUGGACGAUACAAAGAGUCGCAAACUCGCGAGGGUAAGCUAAUCUCAUAAAAUCGUUCUCAGUUCGGAUUGUAGGCUGCAACUCGCCUGCAUGAAGCCGGAAUCGCUAGUAAUCGCGGAUCAGCAUGCCGCGGUGAAUACGUUCCCGGGUCUUGUACACAC
This 352-nucleotide ribosomal RNA is filed under the name uncultured bacterium. RNAcentral describes it as "bacterial SSU rRNA". It matches the Rfam family "Bacterial small subunit ribosomal RNA", at positions 1037 to 1390 of the family's 1533-position model. The record is from RNAcentral.